GGGUUGUGAGGUUAAGCGACUAAGCGUACACGGUGGAUGCCCUGGCAGUCAGAGGCGAUGAAGGGCGUGCUAAUCUGCGAUAAGCGCCGGUAAGGUGAUAUGAACCGUUAUAACCGGCGAUACCCGAAUGGGGAAACCCAGUGUGAUUCGUCACACUAUCAUUAACUGAAUCCAUAGGUUAAUGAGGCGAACCGGGGGAACUGAAACAUCUAAGUACCCCGAGGAAAAGAAAUCAACCGAGAUUCCCCCAGUAGCGGCGAGCGAACGGGGAGGAGCCCAGAGCCUGAAUCAGCAUGUGUGUUAGUGGAAGCGUCUGGAAAGGCGCGCGAUACAGGGUGACAGCCCCGUACACAAAAGCGCAUGUGCUGUGAGCUCGAUGAGUAGGGCGGGACACGUGGUAUCCUGUCUGAAUAUGGGGGGACCAUCCUCCAAGGCUAAAUACUCCUGACUGACCGAUAGUGAACCAGUACCGUGAGGGAAAGGCGAAAAGAACCCCGGCGAGGGGAGUGAAAAAGAACCUGAAACCGUGUACGUACAAGCAGUGGGAGCNNAUAGGGGAGCCGGAGGGAAACCGAGUCUUAAUUGGGCGUUAAGUUGCAGGGUAUAGACCCGAAACCCGGUGAUCUAGCCAUGGGCAGGUUGAAGGUUGGGUAACACUAACUGGAGGACCGAACCGACUAAUGUUGAAAAAUUAGCGGAUGACCUGUGGCUGGGGGUGAAAGGCCAAUCAAACCGGGAGAUAGCUGGUUCUCCCCGAAAGCUAUUUAGGUAGCGCCUCGUGAAUUCAUCUCCGGGGGUAGAGCACUGUUUCGGCUAGGGGGCCAUCCCGGCUUACCAACCCGAUGCAAACUGCGAAUACCGGAGAAUGUUAUCACGGGAGACACACGGCGGGUGCUAACGUCCGUCGUGAAGAGGGAAACAACCCAGACCGCCAGCUAAGGUCCCAAAGUCAUGGUUAAGUGGGAAACGAUGUGGGAAGGCCCAGACAGCCAGGAUGUUGGCUUAGAAGCAGCCAUCAUUUAAAGAAAGCGUAAUAGCUCACUGGUCGAGUCGGCCUGCGCGGAAGAUGUAACGGGGCUAAACCAUGCACCGAAGCUGCGGCAGCGANNUGCUGGAGGUAUCAGAAGUGCGAAUGCUGACAUAAGUAACGAUAAAGCGGGUGAAAAGCCCGCUCGCCGGAAGACCAAGGGUUCCUGUCCAACGUUAAUCGGGGCAGGGUGAGUCGACCCCUAAGGCGAGGCCGAAAGGCGUAGUCGAUGGGAAACGGGUUAAUAUUCCCGUACUUGGUGUUACUGCGAAGGGGGGACGGAGAAGGCUAUGUUGGCCGGGCGACGGUUGUCCCGGUUUAAGCGUGUAGGUGUGUGUUCCAGGUAAAUCCGGUUCACUUUAACACUGAGGCGUGACGACGAGGCACUACGGUGCUGAAGCAACAAAUGCCCUGCUUCCAGGAAAAGCCUCUAAGCAUCAGGUAACAUCAAAUCGUACCCCAAACCGACACAGGUGGUCAGGUAGAGAAUACCAAGGCGCUUGAGAGAACUCGGGUGAAGGAACUAGGCAAAAUGGUGCCGUAACUUCGGGAGAAGGCACGCUGACACGUAGGUGAAGUGAUUUACUCAUGGAGCUGAAGUCAGUCGAAGAUACCAGCUGGCUGCAACUGUUUAUUAAAAACACAGCACUGUGCAAACACGAAAGUGGACGUAUACGGUGUGACGCCUGCCCGGUGCCGGAAGGUUAAUUGAUGGGGUCAGCGCAAGCGAAGCUCCUGAUCGAAGCCCCGGUAAACGGCGGCCGUAACUAUAACGGUCCUAAGGUAGCGAAAUUCCUUGUCGGGUAAGUUCCGACCUGCACGAAUGGCGUAAUGAUGGCCAGGCUGUCUCCACCCGAGACUCAGUGAAAUUGAACUCGCUGUGAAGAUGCAGUGUACCCGCGGCAAGACGGAAAGACCCCGUGAACCUUUACUAUAGCUUGACACUGAACAUUGAGCCUUGAUGUGUAGGAUAGGUGGGAGGCUUUGAAGUGUGGACGCCAGUCUGCAUGGAGCCGACCUUGAAAUACCACCCUUUAAUGUUUGAUGUUCUAACGUGGACCCGUAAUCCGGGUUGCGGACAGUGUCUGGUGGGUAGUUUGACUGGGGCGGUCUCCUCCUAAAGAGUAACGGAGGAGCACGAAGGUUGGCUAAUCCUGGUCGGACAUCAGGAGGUUAGUGCAAUGGCAUAAGCCAGCUUGACUGCGAGCGUGACGGCGCGAGCAGGUGCGAAAGCAGGUCAUAGUGAUCCGGUGGUUCUGAAUGGAAGGGCCAUCGCUCAACGGAUAAAAGGUACUCCGGGGAUAACAGGCUGAUACCGCCCAAGAGUUCAUAUCGACGGCGGUGUUUGGCACCUCGAUGUCGGCUCAUCACAUCCUGGGGCUGAAGUAGGUCCCAAGGGUAUGGCUGUUCGCCAUUUAAAGUGGUACGCGAGCUGGGUUUAGAACGUCGUGAGACAGUUCGGUCCCUAUCUGCCGUGGGCGCUGGAGAACUGAGGGGGGCUGCUCCUAGUACGAGAGGACCGGAGUGGACGCAUCACUGGUGUUCGGGUUGUCAUGCCAAUGGCACUGCCCGGUAGCUAAAUGCGGAAGAGAUAAGUGCUGAAAGCAUCUAAGCACGAAACUUGCCCCGAGAUGAGUUCUCCCUGAGACUUAGAGUCUCCUGAAGGAACGUUGAAGACGACGACGUUGAUAGGCCGGGUGUGUAAGCGCAGCGAUGCGUUGAGCUAACCGGUACUAAUGAACCGUGAGGCUUAA
This 2781-nucleotide ribosomal RNA is filed under the name Salmonella enterica subsp. enterica serovar Typhimurium. RNAcentral describes it as "23S ribosomal RNA". It matches the Rfam family "Bacterial large subunit ribosomal RNA". The record is from RNAcentral. Lineage: Bacteria; Pseudomonadati; Pseudomonadota; Gammaproteobacteria; Enterobacterales; Enterobacteriaceae.